This 1616-nucleotide long non-coding RNA is filed under the name Helianthus annuus (common sunflower). RNAcentral's name for it is "hypothetical non coding rna". Lineage: Eukaryota; Viridiplantae; Streptophyta; Magnoliopsida; Asterales; Asteraceae. The record is from RNAcentral.
GGUUAUUGAGAGAUGCGAUUCUAGAGAUAAAUAAAGAGAGGAACAGGUGUUGCCCUGUCGUUGCCGGUGGCUUCGGCCGUCUAUGGCGGCGGCGGGCGUACUAUGUGCGACGCCUCUGUUGCUUUUUACCUCUGGCUUUGAUUCUUUUCAUUUGCGUCGAUGUUGGAACGAAGAAUGGAUGUAGUGGACUAUUAGGACCAAAUCUGGAACAACCAGAUACCUAAGUUGAGUUCAUUGAUUUCUUUUCAUUUCUGAAUGAUAUAAGGAUUUCCUGUGCCCGUUGUAACCAUGGCUAUACAACGGAUUCGCAUGGAUAAACGCAGCAACGACUGAGGCGAUUGAAGGUUUUAGUUGUAUAGGGGAUCGUCAAUAGUGAAUGGUUGUUUUGGCUUACUAAAGGCAUCUGAAUUGGGUCAAACAAUAGCAGCAAAUAGGGGUCGUUAUCAUGGGGUAAGCCUACGGUAGCGCGCUGUGAAACAAAAAUGGUUUUUGGGGGGUGGCGAACGACACAACGGUUCCAUUUCCAGUUAUAAUCUUCAUGCUUGCACUAUAACUUGAAUGAUGCUUUCAUGCUCACAGCCACAUUAGUCCAAAAGGGUGUGAAACACCGCCCAACGGGCAUGAGUGGGGCUUGAUGGUCAGCCGUUUAGGGCAGUGGCGAAGCUUGAGAUUUCCGGUCGGGGGUCGCAAACGUAUAUACCAAAAAUUUCUAUAAAACCGAGGGGUCAAAAACGUGUAUACCAAAAAAUUUCUAUACGAAAAUUACAUACUCUCCACUAACGAGCGAAAAGUUCGGGGGGUCGACCGCCCCCUCCCGCCACCACAAAGCUCCGCACUUGGUUUAGGGCGGGUCACAAGCAUAGGAAUGGAGUAGUUAAAAGUGUCAUUUGGUAUUGCAACUGUUCAGUUAUCAUUUGCUGAAUUUUUGUAGAUAACUUGAAUGAAUGUUUUUAACUGUACCAUAUGUUUUGUAAUAUGAGGAUUAUGCAAAGAUGCUGAAUGGUUGCCCCAGUGGAAAAUUCCCAGGCUUUCUUUUUGGGGGAUAUGUUUAUUACUUUUGUGGUUCUGAUGCACCUAAAUUCGAAAACUCUUGCAUAAGAGGUUAGUUUCCCGCCGCAACGCGCGAGCGGGGAAAAACCUAGUUAUAGCUAAAGCAAUUAUGGGUAAAGUAACAGUUUUUAGCCCAGUAUUUGUAGAAAUAUAUAAUAUGGAUACUAUCAUGUAAUUUUACAGUUUUAACAAAUCAUGCUUACUAUCAUUCCACGGAACGAAUGAAAACCUUAAUUCCAAUUCCAGUUCAAUUAUAUUCUGAGAAACGAAUGCUACCUAAGGCCACUCGGGGUGGUACGUGAUGAAGCUCGAUAACGCGUUAAACUAUCACGCUACACCGCCGCCGGUUCUUUUAUAACGCGUGAAGUUUGAAACACGUUAUUUCCUUCACGCGUUGAAGUUUGUUGUUGUUCCAUAUUGCCGCCGCCUCCAUGUUCUGCAUAAUUAUUUGCUCUGCAUGUUGCAGAACUAAAAAUGGAAGUAUAGUUCAUCAUGGCAACACGUGUACAUGGAAGAAAUUAAAUGGAAGUAUGCAUCCAACACGUGUACAUGGAAGAAAAUGGCAG